AGAGUGUUAUGAUGUUGGAGGCGACUCCUAGUCUAGCUCAACGCUUUCUCUGCUGAAUGCAUAUUCAGCAGAG
Non-coding RNA from Enterococcus sp., 73 nucleotides. The record is from Rfam. Lineage: Bacteria; Bacillati; Bacillota; Bacilli; Lactobacillales; Enterococcaceae.